AUUGAACGCUGGCGGCAGGCCUAACACAUGCAAGUCGAGCGGAUGAAGGGAGCUUGCUCCUGGAUUCCGCGGCGGACGGGUGUGUAAUGCCUAGGAUUCUGCCUGGUAGUGGGGGAUAACGUCCGGAAAUGGGCGCUAAUACCGCAUACGACCUGCGGGAGAAAGUGGGGGAUCUUCGGACCUCACGCUAUCAGAUGAGUCUAGGUCGGAUUAGCUAGUUGGUGGGGUAAAGGCCUACCAAGGCGACGAUCCGUAACUGGUCUGAGCGGAGGAUCAGUCACACUGGAACUGGGACACGGUCCAGACUCCUACGGGAGGCAGCGGUGGGGAAUAUUGGACAAGGGGCGAAAGCCUGAUCCAGCCAUGCCGCGUGGGUGAAGAAGUUCUUCGGAUUGUAAAGCACGUUAAGUUGGGAGGAAGGGCAGUAAGGUAAUACCUUGCUGUUUUGACGUUACCAACAGAAUAAGCACCGGCUAACUUCGUG
This 484-nucleotide ribosomal RNA is filed under the name uncultured bacterium. RNAcentral's name for it is "partial 16S ribosomal RNA". It matches the Rfam family "Bacterial small subunit ribosomal RNA", at positions 30 to 507 of the family's 1533-position model. The record is from RNAcentral.